AACGAGCCGACAGCAUCCACUCGUCGCCUCUUGCCCCGCACCGGCAUGGUGGAGGAAUGCCGAUCCACGGAUGGGUCCACCAAGCCGGGGGGCUGCUCCUCUGCUACCUGCCUCUGCAGCCGGCUCCACUCCCCUCUGGUCGGCAGCAGGACGGAGGGAUUUGGGGAUACGCCAGAUGCUACAGGGCACUUAUUCCCAAUUCCCUCCACCGGUCUCUCCCUCUCUGUCCUGCGCCUGGAUGAUGGCCGGAUCCGGAGGGGAGGAGACGAAGCGGAGCGGCCGGGAGAGAGAGCUCAAGCUCGGUGGAGGUUUCCUUCCACAGCCCGCUGAGUGCUGGUGAUGCAGGUGAAAAAGCCUCGGACAAGCAGAGGUUCGUUUUGUAGCCUCAUACAAGUGGUGGAUAUUCCAGUCCGCUUGAUUUGUUGCCUCACCGAAGUUACAGUGCAGGGUGGAAAUUCACUGUAAUCUGAGGGAUAUGUUCAUGGACACGAGUUAAGCCUGCGUCAGAGCCAUUAUAAUUUAGGUUCAAGAUAACAAGAUAAGAAGUAAUACAAUAAUCCCUAUAGCCCACAUAGUUUCAAAGAAGUAAAACAAAUAGUACAUUUAGUAAAAAGGAGUCAAUUGUGUAUAUAUAUAUUGCACACACACACUACUUAAAGUUAUACUACAAUAAAGUUAUAUUCAUUCAUUAAGAUAGACAGGGGCUUGGAAGGGAUGGAAGUCGGUUUACGGUAAGGAGAAGCACGCACGAACAAACACGGACACCCACACGCACGCACGCACGCACACACACACACACACACACACACACACACACACACACACACACACACACACACACACACACACACACACACACACACACACACACACACACUCUGAAUCAAUUGAUGGAGGAAUAAAUACAACAUUUUAACUUAUACCUAUAAUUAUUUGAAAUCUGCAUCUCAAGUAGUGCAAGCAGGCACACACAUACACACGCAAACCACCAGUUUCUGUGCAGUGUAACCAACAUUUUAACUUUAAAAUGUUAAUAAAAUUAAAUGAAGAGUAAAACAGAUCAGAUCUAAAUGGACAAAGUUAAUUCCGAUAAAUCAAACAACAGACACACUUUACGCAGUAGCAACGUGGAAACCAGUUACUUUCCGGUUUAUUUAACUUGUUCAUCUGGUGAAUUUCAUACAUUUUUAUGAGCUCACUGGCCGUAAAAGAAGAAAAAAAAAUCUUUCGGUUCAGACGACGAACUCUUCCAGUUCUCUAACACACUUCAAACCCAACGUGGUCCAUUUCUGCUCGUGCAGCCCCGCGGCUCGUUUGCUCAGUGAGUUUUAUGGAGACACUUGGUCAAGGAGGCGCAGGCUCUCUCUUGUAAGAGCAUUUAGACUUUUUAUGACACAAACCCACUGGCCCAUGCCAAAACAAUGAAUUCCUCUCUCUCUCCACCCCCCAGCAGCCCGGCAGAAUGUGAUUUUACAUGCAAUCCGAGCCUGAAGUGUGUGUGGACAGUGGUGGGGGGAGGGGCUCUCUUCACCUUUCACCCCGCCGUGUUGGAACUGUUUGUAUUUUUUGUGCUUCUUCUCCUGAAUGUGGUUUAACUAAAUGAUCACGAUGGCUUGGAAGCAUUGGGUUGUUCAGGUCAUUUUCACCGAAUGCAUUUUUCAUGUUUCACACUUUUCCCACAUCAGGAGUCUAUGACUCAAGAUUCAAAGAUCUCAUUACACUCAGGUACAAUUGGAUUGCAAGGGGCUUCUCUCAUACAAUCUUCAUCUUGAUACAAGACACUUCACUCUAACAAUUUUCUCCUAACAUAUAUAGAAGCAUAAGCAUGAAAAGCAACAGUACAUAACUAAAUAUAGAAGAUAAAAUACUGAAAAUAAGCAAGUAUUAAACUGAAUUAGAAUCACCCUUACACAAAUACAAGAUUGCUGAUCUAUUAGUCUCAUCUUGGUCUUGGUCUGUCACAACCUUCACAGUGCUUCAAAAUACAGUAUGAUAACUGUCAAAAGCCCUGACAAACACGUGCAGAAUAUAUAGAGAUAAAAUAUAUAAUUUAAUAUAUCUAAAGCUUGGCCUUGUAGCUAUAGGGCAGGACAAUAUGGGUCAAAAAAUGUAUAAAGGUAAAAGUGUUCAUAUCAGUGGUUAUCCAUAAUUAUAAGAAUAAAUGUCAGUUAAUAUUUUUUGUGAAGCAACUUGUAAAGUUUGUAAUUAAUAUUUAUUUUAAGUUUAAAGGCUGAUGUUUGCUCCUGAGUGUAGUUUAAAACUCAUGAGCAGAAAAUGAGACACACUUGAUAAACAGCAAAACCUUUGAUAAAACUGAGGUAGACCACUAAUGUGUUACACCACCGGACUGCGAUUACACAAUCCAUUGGGAAAUAUAUUAUUAUAUAUCAAACCUUUGUUAUUGCUAUUGAUGGAAAAUUCUAUUGCGAUACUUAUUAAUAUUGUUUUAUUGCUCAGUCCUAUACAGCCAAUAAACUGCCUGAAUAAUUAUCACUCAUGUAAGUGUAAUGAAGCAUUUAGGUUAGAGCAAGUGAAUAAUGGUAACCUUAAACUUACUCUAUAGUUGUAUUUGUGCACCAGGAAGACAAUGUGACUCGUGAUAACACACAACUGACACAAACAUUUAGACGUUUGAAUCCAAUAGACACUUGAAGAGGGGAAAAACUUGUGCAAUUGUAUCUGUGAAACACUGUUGUCUUUGUUUCAAUAGCAAAUGAAAGCUUAAAGAAAAAUAGUCUGAAUAUGCUCCGUCAGACUGUGUGAAAAUUGAUUGAGCACAUCACACGACACAUAUUUUCCUGAACUUAACACAUGUAUAUGCAUAGCAGACAUACUGUGGGAGAGUGUUUAUUUUAUACAUACAAAUAAAAUAUUCGGUACCAAUUAAUAAAGGGGAAAAAGCAUAUGGCAUUUUGAAAAUGUAUAUAAAAAAGGCUUCAAAAUGAAAAGUCCUUUACUUACCUGUCAGCAGUUAUUUGUUGAAGUGUAGUCUGUGAAAACAAUCCCCUCAGACUGCUUUAGUUUUAUGUUGAGUUCUCCAUGUAGGCACAUGCACGCGCCCACACACACAAACACACACAUGUUUAAGGAGAAAAUUUGGUGUUUGCUGUGCACAUUCUUUAUGCUACAGCCCUUUUUCUUAGAAAUGUCAGAAAACUUGGCUCAUGCAGAGAUGGAGUUUGUUAGACAAUCUAAAGAACAACAUAAGGUAAAUAUCCAUCUUGCAUGUAAGAUUGUGGGUCUGAGCGUUGUCUUUCCUCAUCCUGCACAGAGACCACACAACUGCCCCAGCCAAUACAAACAUGCCCAAGACUCAAGUGUUAGGGUCCUCUGACCUUUUACAUUAAAAGUGCUGUGAGGACAAAUUUUCAACAAUUAAAUGAAAACCAAAGACACAAGCACAGAGGAGACCAGUCCACUGAAAAGCAAAUUAAACUCUUGUUUUCCACACUUUCUAGAGUUCUUUAAAAUGUGUGUACACUGGUAAAUCAGUGAAAUGAGAAUGGCCACAAUGUAAUGUGUAUUUCAAGGACGUUUUUUUAAAUAUUUUUGUUUAUUUCUGCUGCCUAGCCCAAGUCAAAACAUUCUAUCGUACAUCACUGAAGAUGAUAUCAGUCACUGAACCAGGCACGCUACUGUGUCGAACCCAGAGAAUUUUUUUUUUAAAACCCCCAGAGGCGCCUCUGUCAUACACCCAGCCCUGCAGGUUAUUUGCAUGGUGCAAAAAUAAUGUUCAUGUGUCCAGCAGUUAUCAAUACAGAUCAUUAUGUGGCUGAGACAAGGCCGCUUAUUUUCCAAACAGAUCCAGGCCAAAGGUAGAACCGCCGCUCCACUGGCUUUAAGAGAACCAAAUCCAAGCACUACCAGAUGGACAUGUAUGAACAACAGAGCUCUGACAGGCAUAGACCACUGUAUGGCUAUAACAUAACUUGAAUUAUAUAAAAGCUAUGAGUGCUGUAUGUACUCCGAGGUCAGCACUAGCAAUUGGGAGCAGACAGUGUCGCUGCAAUUUUGCGUCUCAGAGAAAGCUCCUCUCCCACAACCUGAGGAACAUUAUACAUGAUUCGUGCAGACUUUGACUUAAUCAAGUGCAAGUUGUGAAAAUCAUUUGCCAUUUUCAGUGUUUCAGUAGCUAUACGGGCCCCUCCACAACCGCUGCUCCCUCCUUCGCCUCCCUUUGUUCUCUCCAGCUCUAAUAGGUUUUCCCCUGCCACACACAAUUCACUUUUUUUCCCUCCCCAGCUCCCCUUCCCUACGCCCCCUUUUAGUGCAGUGCCCAGUGUCGACUGGAGCAUUUGAGCAAUUUGAAAUUAAAGCAAACAAUGGGCAGGCACUCCCAGGGACCUCUCGCUCACCAUAUUACACGGAGGACGCUCGUGUGCUCUUGCGCAUUAUUGGCAAGUCAUUACGUUUCUCUGGAAACCAAGAGCGGGAGCUCGCUCAGAGGAAUCGGUGAUGCAAGCAGCAGCUGAGUGCUUGGAAUUGUGUGUGUGUGUGUUCAGGAACAUCCUUGGCAACAGCAUGGGGAUGCUGUCAAAACAAAACUGUAUAUUGACAGCUCUGAUUAAGGCUCCUCAAGGCCAAUUAAAUACAUAUUUUUGAAAAUAAAUGUAGUCAUUGUACAAUGCAAAAUUGUGUUGGUGGCUCCACACUCAUUAGGCCUUUUACCUUUUAUAGUCUUCUGCCAUUUUGAAUCAUAAUGAAAUGCCAAUGUUCCAGCCCAAGCUGUUUGAAGUUUAUUUGUCAGUAAAAAAGCAAACAAUAAGUCUAACAAACAAAUUAUAUAGCUGUCAUUGACUUUAAAGCUGUAAAACUGUAAAUAAAGAGAAGUUGCUUUUGUAUUUGUCUGCUUUAACACAUCAUUAAUGUCAUGGUUUUAUCAUCUUGUCAUAGUCAUGUUGUUGCUUUGAAUGAGUUUGAUGCAUCAAAAGACCUACAACUGUGACUUCUAAAGAUGGACGACUGGAUGUAUACCAACAUGAUGACAUAUGAAAAACAUCCUGUGUAACAAGAGAAUAAUAUUAAGCCUGGGGCAUUAUUACGAACAUACGCAGUCUAGUGUGACAUUGCAACAAAGGGCCUUUUAAAUGUAGGAAGAUUUCAAAUAAAAAGGGAACAAAAACCCAACUGUUCAGAAGUGAUAAGAACAACUUGUUUUAUUGAUUAGAAAGGCAAACCUACAAUGAUGUCUCCCAGGCCUCUGUGUCUUCUUCUUCCUUUACUUCAGGUUAUUAUGCUGCAACGCAUGUUGCAUUUUAUGUUUUUUUAACUUUGUAAUGCAUUAGCCCGCACUAAUGAGUGGCUUGGUUUAUUUUCUUUCAUGUAUGAAAUUAAUUUGGUUGUUUGGUCUAUUUGAACUAUAUGAACCCCCCAAAUAUUUACUGAAAACUAUUUUAUUCUCAUGACUUAUUCUUCUGCCAUUUAGUUCCUUGAUUAAUGAUUUACUUGUUAAUCUGUGAAAUCCGUCCAGUGUCAAAAGGGAUAACAUAAAAGUGAACAAUGCUGGUCCAAAUUUCAAAGAUGAAAAAUUGACCUACUCACAUGAUAUUUAAUCCAAUAUUCAAAUGAAAACAAUAUAAAGUGAAAAAGACCAGAUAUUCCUACUUGAGAAGCUAUCCGUGCCAAACGCUUCCUGUUACACUGUCUAAGUUUUGUUAACAUUGUAAAUAUUUCAGUGUCUUAGGGUUCCUUGUGUUUGUAUUGUAUUCUUUACUUUAUUUUACUUUAAACAAGUGUGUAUCACUAUUCCCUCUUUUUUGGUGUAACACAGUUGAUUACGGAAUUUUCGAAUAAUUAAAGGUUUAAUAGACUAAUGA
Long non-coding RNA from Pleuronectes platessa (European plaice), 5816 nucleotides. RefSeq lists it as uncharacterized. The transcript has 2 exons. NCBI's taxonomy places the organism in Eukaryota, Metazoa, Chordata, Actinopteri, Pleuronectiformes, Pleuronectidae. The record is from RefSeq and is a predicted model, not a curated record.